This 265-nucleotide long non-coding RNA is filed under the name Vitis vinifera (wine grape). Its description in RNAcentral is "long non-coding RNA (VVIN_LNC006123)". The record is from RNAcentral. Lineage: Eukaryota; Viridiplantae; Streptophyta; Magnoliopsida; Vitales; Vitaceae.
GGACCCUUGCAAUCGUUUCUAAUCAAUUUGUGUUAAGUUUUGGUGCUUUUUGAUAGCUUUAUGCUCACCAAAGCAAUUUAAGAAUGAGGGAGAGCUAUAUAUAAUUCAUGGCAAAGCUUUUGGAAGCUCAAAUUUAAGAAGAAACCAAGCUUUGGAGCCUCAUAAUCCUUUGCCUUAGUCGUUCAAAGUAUGCAAGGAAAGAACAAUGGAGAAGAGGAAAACAGGGUGAUGAAAAUAGGGGACACAGCUGCAGUCUUUCAUCGCA